CCCCGCCCCACGUGCAGGACUUCCGGCGGGCUGGCUGGAUUCUUGUGGAGACCUGAUCCCCGAUCGUGCUUACAAUGGGGAGCCCGUACGCGCCCACGGGGGGCUGAGCGCUCAGCUGUGAGCAGAGCGGCCGGGGCGGGCUCUGGCCAAACGACCUCCAAAAUCUUGGGCUGCACCCGGGGCCGUGUCUUAGGUAACAGAUCCGGCUCUGCCUGACUCGGGGGCGAUGGGACCAGACCCUUGCUCAAUCCCCAUGGCCAUCCUUACCCCUGCGCGGGAUCAGGAGCUGGAGAAGGCCCAGGAAGCUGCCCCAGCGAUCGGGGCACCCCCUGGGUCCUCACGGACCCCCACUGGAGGGCUAAAGCCAGGUGCAGGGCGUGCCCGUGCCCCGAUUCCUACAUCCUGCCCACCACGGUCUCCACAGUCAAAUGAGGUAGGCUCUUCCUGGUUUAUUAAGCAACCAGAGCAACACAGACUAGAAUGCCUCAACUGCUACGAUAUAACAGAAGAAAUGGGGUUUUCUUUCUUCUUGCUCAAUGACCAUGAUAAAGAUCAACUCGACCUCUGCUACUUUAUACAUCAACGUCUCACCAAAACAUCUCAGGGAAUUAUUCUAGUAGGUUCUACAUUCAGCGCUGCUGGGAAGUGCUCUGGGGACGGCCGCUUACGUCUCUGUUGUCAGUUUCCCAGUUUCUUCGCAGUUGUAUUUCUAGUGUGUAAUUACAUCUGGUACAUAGCAGGUGCUCAGUAAAUGUUUGUCAAAUGAAUAAAUGCAUGAACUCUCGGC
Molecule: long non-coding RNA, 787 nt
Filed under: Capra hircus (goat)
Lineage: Eukaryota; Metazoa; Chordata; Mammalia; Artiodactyla; Bovidae
Description: lncRNA (ENSCHIG00000001693.1)
Source: RNAcentral